Ornithodoros turicata is the source of this 1624-nucleotide long non-coding RNA. RefSeq lists it as uncharacterized. NCBI's taxonomy places the organism in Eukaryota, Metazoa, Arthropoda, Arachnida, Ixodida, Argasidae. The record is from RefSeq and is a predicted model, not a curated record. The transcript is spliced from 8 exons.
UACGUAAACAAAGUCUGUCUCUACUGUCGCAAGCUUAGAUGGGAGAACGCUUUCAAUUCUUUUUUUAUUUUGUUUUUUCGGAUUUUUCCAGGCUUCACUCACGAGCAGUUUUUACCAUCAGUUCGCUUUGAGGCAUUAAAAAUGGUACUCUGUGAAUGACACUGUGAAUAUCAGAGUGGAAAGUUGAGUUGGUUGUCAUUUUGCAAACGGAGCGCAAGAAAAACGAAACAACACUGCUGGACGAGCUCAGACUGCUCAGACAUGCAACUGAAUAGUUACGGAACAUAUCAAGCCAGAGACACGUCAUUGUACGAGGAAAAGGAAUACCCUUUGGUCUCUACACCUCAGACUCCACCUCCAACAUGCAAGCUAGCUCACUUCGCUGAGCGAAUGUCCCGACGAGUGAGAAAAACAAGUGGUGGUGACCUCAGACUGUACCUCGGUGAGGAAGACGGAGAUCUCGUGCUAAACAAGAUGAAGAAUCACGGCUGCAGAAACCAUUUGAUGUAAUCGUGACGAAAGCAGAUGACGCAUAUCGAUAGCAUCCCGGGAUUCCCUCUCUGGAAACGCCACCCGGACGGAGCAAAUCAAGGAGCGGCUGGAGGUACCUUGGUAGCGUUGGCGGCCGACCGACUGAUACUGGACGGCAUCUGCCCUGUGAUCAGCUUGCGGAACAUUCUUUCUGGUUAGCAUCGGAGGUGUUUGUACAAGUGGGAGCGUAACAGCGUGUUCCACGCAACAUGGUCACGUCAGAACUCACACUGGAGACAAUGGAAUGCGAGUGCCAUCAAGAACCUUUCUGGCAAUUCUCCUGACUGAACUGGAACCAAUGUGCACACAGAGGAACUGAACACAGAUCACUUCCCUGGGGACAGGGCGACACGUGGCAGGUGUCGCAUUAAAGAAGAGCCUCUAGAGGACCCUUCAAAAGAACAACCAAUCACAGAAAUCAAGACAGAGCCUUACAACGUUGGAAUUAUAGCAGAGCAGGAGCAAAUGGGGCACAGCUGUGGCUCUGCAUCAGAAGACACUCUACCACUUGACCCCGCUGCAGGUGAAGGUGCAGCCAGUGAAAACGAGCCGUCCGAUAGCGACGACGCUUUCAGAUGCCUCUGCACUCGCUGUAGUCCAGUGGAACCUGAUGAACGCCGGUGCCGCAGUUCCGUUGAUCGAGUGUCAGCUGUCUUGUGAGAGUGCCGGGGGUCAGUUGUAUCACCGAUCACCUACUCUUCAAUGACAUUUGUCUGCGGAGGGAGCUCCUGCUUGUUUAUGCACCAGUGUUUUGCCGUGAUGACCGUCACAUGCGUAUUCUCGAGCCAUCUGACAAUAGACGUCUCCGAUACACUGCGUAUUGCUCCUUUACAAGCUGGAUUCAUGGAUACCUUGGAAUAAGAAACCGAAGGCAGAUUCCACGAUGUGCUGAUCGAAGAAUCAGGACGUUGUACCCGUCGAUUUCAUAUACAGGAUACUAUGAGUAACACCAGGCAUAUCUCCCACGUUGCAUAUAUGGUAACAUACUUCACUUUUCAUAACACCUUUCAAAUUCAACUUGUGCGGUAUACAGGGUGUUUGCUCUAACGUGUCCAGAAGUUUUAUCUAAAACGAGUGCUACUUUUCAGCUACC